This 403-nucleotide long non-coding RNA is filed under the name Pan troglodytes (chimpanzee). RNAcentral's name for it is "long non-coding RNA NONPTRT018575". The record is from RNAcentral. Lineage: Eukaryota; Metazoa; Chordata; Mammalia; Primates; Hominidae.
UAACCUUUUGCUUCUCCAGUUGAACAUUUGUAGCAAUAAGUCAUGCAAAUAGAGCUCUCCACCUGCUUCUUUCUGUGCCUUUUGCGAUUCUGCUUUAGUGCCACCAGAAGAUACUACCUGGGUGCAGUGGAACUGUCAUGGGACUAUAUGCAAAGUGAUCUCGGUGAGCUGCCUGUGGACGCAAGAUUUCCUCCUAGAGUGCCAAAAUCUUUUCCAUUCAACACCUCAGUCGUGUACAAAAAGACUGUGUUUGUAGAAUUCACGGAUCACCUUUUCAACAUCGCUAAGCCAAGGCCACCCUGGAUGGGUCUGCUAGGUCCUACCAUCCAGGCUGAGGUUUAUGAUACAGUGGUCAUUACACUUAAGAACAUGGCUUCCCAUCCUGUCAGUCUUCAUGCUGUUG